UCAAAAGAAGAUGGUUCCAAUUAUCACGCUGCUCCCCGAUAUUCUUGUGCAUCUCCACUCUAUCUGCCACAGCCUCCAUGAUUGCAUGGAGUUUAGCAAUCACCGAAGGAUCAGAAACAUUGCUCACAGAAGGGAAAAUACCAUUAGUACUCGGCUCGUAUUUCUUCUCCAAAUUGCUGGUGGUUGCAGCUGUGAGACCAACUCCCAUGUCCAGUACUUCCUGUAGUACCAAAUCUCCAGCGGGGAGGUUCAAAGAUAGGCGGCCGGGCUGGAGUUUAGGCAUAUUGAUAGUAGCUCUUAUCAUUCCUCUCCGGCAACGAGAUGAGGAAUAAGCCACUGACGUAAUAACAGCCGAUGAAAAUUGAAGACUCACCAUGUCCUCUCCUUGAACGAUCUGUAUGAGUUUCUUCCUGUUGCUAAGAUUGGUUGAUUCUAAUGGGUAUGUAGUGAAUGGCUUAGGCUUGUAGUGAAAUGUGGUGGCAGUGCAACCUGGAUUAUAUAUAGGGAAUGGGAGUGGACCAAGUACGCUAUUCAACGUUUGAAUGGUCUCAUGGGUCUUGGCUUAGACCUUUUCUUGUCUUUGGUUUAUUGGUGUUUCACCUCUCAAUUACGCUGCUUGUCAAAUAGGGCAUUGAGGCAGUACUUCAUUGACUUUUGUUGGUUUUGAAUACUUAUACAGAAUAUAUAUUUUUGGGCUGCAGGAACUCUGAUUUUUAUUGAUGAAGAGUGCUGAAUUUAUACAUGAGCUUGUAACUUAAAUGACAUUAGAAUAGCAGAAAAUCAAGCUACCUAGAUGAUGAACAACUACUUCCUAUAAAAUAGAAACUAAAUCUUGACCAAAUAAAAAAUAAGAAAAUAUCUAGAUGUUGCAGCUGCAGAAAAUAUUGUGCAAGACUCCAGCUGCAAUAUUCAAAAUUCAAAUUCUAGCAAAUACUAAGUCAAAAUUCAACACUCCUCCUUGACUUCGUAGAUGCAAACUCCAAGUCUUGCACGUAGACACUCGAACCAAACUUCGAAAGGGGUCUGCUUCUUUAACACUUUUGUUGGCAAUAUGUUAAGAAAAUAUACUGCUCCAUUUUGUUGUGGAUUAUAUGGUGCAGUGAGCUGGUGAACAUUGUUUGCAUUCCAUUUCAAGGAUGGCAUCUUUUGAGAUCCACCAACAUCAGUAUGCACCAGUUGCAGUUUUUGGGUUGCUCUCCAGGAUAUUUUCUUUGGAAAGGGAAGUUUAGUUUGCUUCCCAUAUUGACAAGUAGCACAUAUAGGAAGAUCUUUUUCUAAGUCAGGAAGUCCUUCAGCUAUUUGAUUUUUCUUCAUGUAAAGCACAUCAUCAUGAUGAAAGUGCUCGACCCUUCUGUCCCAAAACAUUGUUGUGCUAUCUUGUUGUAAAAUAGCAGUAUGCUCAUCUUCCAAUAAAUUCAAGGCAAAACUCUUGCCCUUCAUUUUUAUGUUGAACACCUCUUUGCCUUCAGCAUCCUUGAUAAUGCAAUUCCUAUCUUCAAAAUAAACUUUAAAUUCUUUCUCAACGAGCUGUCCAACACUGAGUAAGUUUUGGUCAAUGUCANNNNNNNNNNNNNNNNNNNNNNNNNNNNNNNNNNNNNNNNNNNNNNNNNNNNNNNNNNNNNNNNNNNNNNNNNNNNNNNNNNNNNNNNNNNNNNNNNNNNUUUUGGGCUGCUGGAACUCUUUUUUUUUUAUUGAUGAAGAAUGCUGAAUUUAUACAUGAACUUGUAACUUAAAUGACAUUAGAAUAGCAGAAAAUCAAGCUACUAGAUGAUGAACAACUACUUCCUAUAAAAUAGAAACCAAAUCUUGACCAAAUAAAAAUAAGAAAAUAUCUAGAUGUUGCAGAUUUUGUGCAAGACUCCAGCUGCAAUAUUCAAAAUUCAAAUUCCAGCAAAUACUAAGUCAAAAUUCAACACUCCUCCUUGACUUCGUAGAUGCAAACUCCAAGUCUUGCACGUAGACACUCAAACCAAACUUCGAAAGGGGUCUGCUUCUUUAACACUUUUGUUGGCAAUAUGUUCAGAAAAUAUACUGCUCUACUUGCAGUUUUAGCCCAAAAUUGUUUGCAUUCCAUUUCAAGGAUGGCAUUUUUUGAGAUCCACCAACAUCAGUAUGCACCAGUUGCAAUUUUUGGGUUGCUCUCCGGGAUAUUUUCUUUGGAAAGGGAAGUUUAGUUUGCUUCCCAUAUUGACAAGUAGCACAUAUAGGAAGAUCUUUUUCUAAGUCAGGAAGUCCUUCAACUAUUUGAUUUUUCUUCAUGUAGAGCACAUCAUCAUGAUGAAAGUGCUCGACCCUUCUGUCCCAAAACAUUGUUGUGCUAUCCUGUUGUAAAAUAGCAGUAUGCUCAUCUUCCAGUAAAUUCAAGGCAAAACUCUUGCCCUUCAUUUUUAUGUUGAACACCUCUUUGCCUUCAGCAUCCUUGAUAAUGCAAUUCCUAUCUUCAAAAUAAACUUUAAAUUCUUUCUCAACGAGUUGUCCAACACUGAGUAAGUUUUGGUCAAUGUCAGGCACAAACAAAACAUCAUAAAUGAGUUUCAAACCUGUUUGGCUUUCGAUAGCAACCGUUCCUUUGCCCUUCACUGGAAUAUACUCACCAUUUCCAAUUCUGACUUUGGAAAUAGUUGUUCUAUCAAGUUCUCUAAAGAGAUCUUGAUUAUUUGUCAUGUGGUUUGUACAACCACUAUCCACAAGCCAGCUUUUAGAGGUGCUUUUAUUAGCAAAACACGUUGCUGCAAACAAUUGCUCCUCCUGGCAAUAGUCAACUGCUGCACUAGUUUCUUCCUGCUGUUGAUUUUUGCAAAUCCUCUCCACAUGUCCUUGUUUACCACACUUGUUGCAUUUCACAUCUGGUCUCCACCAACAUUUUUGUGGAGAAUGAUUUGUCUUCUUGCAAUGAGGACAAGGUGGAAAAACUCCAUUUUUCUGGUUGUUGCCACACGACUUGUUGUUGUUCACCUUUCCAUUUUUAUGGCCUGCAUUUUUAUGCAUUCUUGCUUGAAAUGCUCCUUCUGCAGUAUCUCCUUGUCUCAUGAGUCUUCUUUGUUCCACAGCCUCCAAGGAAUGUAAUAAUUCUGUCAAGCUAAUAGUUGACAGAUCUUUUGAAUUCUCCAAAGAGGAAAUUGUAGCUUCAUAUUUCUCAGGAAGUGUAACCAAUAUCUUUUGAACAAUCUUUUCAUUGGAAAAUUCUUUUCCAAGCAGCCUAACUUUGUCUGCUAUUGAAAGAAGUUGUACAGCAUAGUCUUUAACAGCAUCAGACUCCCUCAUUUUCUUCAUUUCAAAUUCUCGAAUCAAGUUCAUCACCUGCAUGUUCUUGAUUCUUUCAUCUCCUUUGUAUUCCUCCUUGAGAUACUCCCAAAUUUCUGCAGUUGAAUCAAUUUUCAUGAUUUUGAUGAAAAUUGAUGGUGAAACUGCAGCAAACAAGCAAGCUUUCGCUUUAGCCUUUCUUGUCCUUCUUUCUUUAUGCAACUUCAUUUGAGCCACAGUUGGAUUGGCUCCUAGGGGAGGAACUUCAUAAUUUUCUUCCACUGCUUCCCAAACAUCAAGUGCUUGUAGAUGAACUGUCAUUCUAACAGCCCAAGUUUCAUAAUUGUCUCCAUCAAGAAUUGAUGGUGCAACUGUGAGACUUGACUCUUCCAUUGCUAAAUGAUUUUUGAAGGUGUUUGGGUUCACUCACCUCACUGGCCCCUCAAGAUAACUAUAGCUCUGAUACCACUUUGUUGGUUUUGAAUACUUAUACAGAAUAUAUAUUUUUGGGCUGCAGGAACUCUGAUUUUUAUUGAUGAAGAGUGCUGAAUUUAUACAUGAGCUUGUAACUUAAAUGACAUUAGAAUAGCAGAAAAUCAAGUUACUAGAUGAUGAACAACUACUUCCUAUAAAAUAGAAACUAAAUCUUGACCAAAUAAAAAAUAAAAAAAUAUCUAGAUGUUGCAGAUUUUGUGCAAGACUCCAGCUGCAAUAUUCAAAAUUCAAAUUCUAGCAAAUACUAAGUCAAAAUUCAACAACUUUUAACCUGAAAAAACCAGUAAAACCUUGAAAUAGGCGUAGGCAUUACAAGUACAUAUUUUAAUUAAGAGUUCAAAAUCCCAAUGAGUACGAACAAUUCCUUCAGCUCAUUAUCACUCGUUAGAGAUAUUUGUCAAAUGUUUUUGAGGUGAUAUAUGAUGAAGAAUUUAAAUUCAAAUUCCCAAUAAUGGGUCAUGACCAGAAAUAAUAAAAUCAACCUUUUGCUUCUCCAAUAUUUCUGGGUCUGAAUUCUGUAGCCACAUAUCGUUGAUCAGCAGAUAUAUUUGACGUAACUAAAACAUGGGAUUUGUUCAAAGAUUACAAGUAUUUUGAGCAUUAUCACCAUUAUUUGGUCAAAAAGUGCUACUGUUAUAAUCCAACAUUCAGCCUGUCUGAGACCCAAAUGUUAUGGCUUAAAGCAAGCACUAAGUGCAUUGUAUGGUCAAAUUAAUGGAUACUUCAAGCAAAAACCUAUGUUGUAUGUUAAGACGAGGUAUGAAUGAAAUAUUUGGUAUUUGCCUUUUAAGUUUAUGGUUUGAUUUAUACUAGUGAAUGUACGUAUUAUUUUAAUGAAAGAAUUUUAAAAAGAUGAUGAUCAAUAAAUUUGAGAUGAUUGAUUUAACUUGAUGAGUUAUUUUCUUAUGUUGGAAAUACGGAAAUUUUUAUUUUUCAAGAGAAGUAUAAAAAUAUUUUUCUUUAGAAAUUUGAACUGAAGAACUAAAAUCUAAUGAAAACUCUUAUGAAUGUCAAUGAAAAAUUUUAUUUGAAUGAUAGGGGAUAAAAGGUUGAUAUUCAAGAGUAAUGAAGUUUGGUUGGUAGCUUGUUAUAUCUCACCAAUAAUAGGUUAAAUAUUAUGCAAGCAACAAGUCUCUUAUUAAGGCUUAUGCAAAGUUCAAGCAAGCUUUAUUAUGAUGCAAGUAAGAAAGUCUUAAGAUAUUUAAAAGGAACAAGUUCAUAUAGUAUUUGGUACACUAAUAUAACUGAUCUUUAGCUUUGUUUUUUUUUUUAAAAUUUUGUAGUGAUUGGAUAGGUUUCAUCGAAGAUUGAAAAAUAACCAUAGGCUAUAUUUUCAAUCUUAGUUCAGGUUUGUGGAAUUCAAAGAGUCAUCAAUUGCUUUGUCUUCCUUAGAAGCGGAACAUAUUGCAACAACUUUUAGAGCUUAUGAAAUUAUUUGGUUAAGAGGAAUUUUAGAAGAUAUGAAACAACAUUAAGAAGAGCCCACAAUUAUCCAUUAUGAUAAUCAUUCAACGAUUUUUGUGACAAACAACCUCCAUGUUUCAUGGGUGCACAAAACAUAUAGAGAUACUUUUUCAUUUUAUCAAAGAGUUGGUAGUCAAAGUUACUAUUAAGAUGAUAUAUUAUAACAUCAAUGAAUAACUUGGUGAUAUAUUUAUGAAAUCUCUAUCUUUAGAGAUAUUUGAGUUUUCACGGAUAUUUUAGGAGUUGCAACAUUUCAGCAUUAAGUAGAGAGUUGGAAUUAAUGUUGAUAUUUUAUUGGUUAGCUACAAUUUUUUUUUAAAUCAAAUAAAAUAAAAAAUAUAGUAUACCAUCUUUGGAAGUAUUCCAUACUUGUAUAAGUGGAUUAGUGUUAGUCAACUAGUAGUUAACUUAUUUAAGAAUUUGUUAGAGUUGGAUUGUUUACUUAAAUGCAAAUUGAUUAAUAAAAAAUCAAUCUAAUUCAAUUAGACUUCUUGCUUCUUAUCCAAACAUUUUUAAGUGCUCUAUUUUAUUUUUACUUCUCACUUCUUAAUAGUUGAACUUCUUUUGGAUUAUCAGGGUCAUUCCUUAACUUAGGCUUUCUUUGGUGCGAUCGAUCUCACUUGUAGAUUUAGAAAUAUUUCCCUCAAAUAUGGGAAGAAAAUUGUGAAAAUAUUUCAAUUAAAAAGUAAAGAGUAUGUGUGGGAGGAGGAGGGAAAACAGGGAAACUAGAAUUAUACCAGGCACAUGCAAUGAUGCUGUGGAAGAUGACACGGAACUGGAGCAACACAUACUGGUGAUUGACCCAUCCCACCACCGGCUUGAAGGCCCAUAGCCGCAUUUACAUCCAUUAGAGAUUUUCAAAAGGAUGUAAUCAUAUCUGAUAGUGUAAAUAAUGAUCAAUGUAUACAGCACUGCUGGAUAAUCCUUCUUGANNNNNNNNNNNNNNNNNNNNNNNNNNNNNNNNNNNNNNNNNNNNNNNNNNNNNNNNNNNNNNNNNNNNNNNNNNNNNNNNNNNNNNNNNNNNNNNNNNNNAUGUUUCAAGGCUAAAGGAAACAUCAAUUCUAAGUACUUUACAGUUUAAUUCUCCGAACAAAUUCAGAAUGCAAAUGACAAAACUGAAAAACUCACAUGGAAAAGCAUUUCAGAAAACAGAACAUUAUGGAAGAUAAUCCUACAGCAGCAUCAAAACCUAAAGGGUUUCUGUCUUUUUUUCCUUUUUUUAAUGGAAAACAGGCAUGCAGGCCAGCUCUUUUCAAGAAAUCUAUGAGGAAGUUCAAUGUGGCAUGGUGGGCUUACUCUUUUCCCCUCACCUUCCUUGCUCUAGCCUCUGCGGAAUAUGCACAGAAGGUGGAAGGUGAAAUAGCUCCUGUUCUGAUGCUCAUGCUCAUAGCCUUCUCUGUCUUGGUUUGCCUCAGCUUGAUGCUCUUCACUGCACUCAACACUAAAGCCCUUCUCCUUGGAAAUGAUCCCAUUCUGAAAUUUCGCAAAUCUCAAAACAAGGAGGGCUUGACCAUGGUGUAUAGGAAUGGAGGGUAACUACUCCCAAACCCUGUUUAAUUUUCAACUGCAACUCUACCCUUGUCACUCUGUAGUUUGGUUUCUUAAUCUGACAAUAUACCUGUACUGAACAUAAUCUACAAGAUAAAGUUUUGGCACAUUUCAUGUAAUUUUUAAGUAAUGAAUUAGUAGAAUAUUUAUAGAAUGGACAAUGAAAGCUUAAUCAAAGGAUCAAAGGAUAAGAUGAAUAUCAGAAGUAACAAUUUCUUGACUAUUGAGGAGAAAAUCUAAUUAACUCUACUUCAGCACUCAGCUACAUAAAUCAAUUGACACAACCCCCAAAUCACUCCUACUCCCCACCCCAAAUUUUAAUUAUUAUUUUUUUUUUGAACUUUUGCAAAUAUUCUCAACCUUUGUAUGGAUGUCAAUUAAUCAGUAAUGAACAAACACAUUACAGAACUUCCAACCAAGUACUGUGAAAAAGUAAAGCAGAUACAAAAACUUGUUCACAAAUAUGUGACUGGUUUCUUAUGUGUUCUUCUUGCUACCAGAAUGUGACAAUCUUCGGUCUAAUGACUGCAACUGGUUCCGAAGAUUCUGGUUUUCCUCAAGCAAACGGUCGUAUUCAAGAAGGAAGCCUUCAGAUUGUUUCCUCAGAGCCACAGCAUUGGUUUCUGCAGCCUUUGCUUCUUUUGUUUUUGUCUCAAUUUCAGAUUCCAGCUGCUUAAGCUUUGCCCCUAAUGCUGCCAUCUCUUCCUCCAUGGCUUUGAUUUCUGCUGAACCACCAGUUUUUCCAUCCUCAAAGCCUCGGUUUUGUUUCUUUAUAGCUUCCAUGCUCUUCCUUCUUAAACGGAGUUCUCUGAUGUAGUGAUGUAGUCUGUCUAUCAUUAGUGCAAGGAAGAGGGUGAAUCCUGCAUGUAAGUCCCCCAAAAACAUCAUUACAAAUUCAUAGGCAAUGGCAAUGGGGUUAGAAGCUGAAGGGUAAAAGGGCUAAAAAUAAAAAUGCACAUUAACCAUAAAUUUCAUACUUGUACAAGCGUAGCAGAAUCAAACUGCCAAUAUCGAAUUGGAUAAGAAUUUUGAUAGGUUAAAUUAAACACUGAAUUCUUGGAUAAAUGUGAGCUUCUAGAAAAAGAACAUAUGAUUUUUUAAAACAACAAAAAACAGAGCAACUAGUUGCAUAAAUAUAUACAGCAAGAAAACAGUACUAUUUUCCCACCUGCAUACCCCCUUAGAAAUAUGUCCAGCAUACCCUAGGAGCUCUGAGAUAUUUAGUAGAUAUUCAUUCUAAAAUGGAAUUACAAAUGGAUGGAUAUUAAAAAAGAAAACAAAUGGCAACAACAGGAACUGUUCAGAAAAAACUGGGACAAGUAUAUGGUAAGUUUUCAUACUCAUGCAUUGUUUUGUUUUUCAUCCUCAACAAAGUAAAGAUGAAGGGAGAUGGGGUGGGGUGGGUUUGGGUUGAAGAAGGAAUCAUUGCAGCCAGAUCAUUUCAUCAAUGGAGCAUUAAUAUUGUAGUUUCUAGAUCUUGUUGUUUAUUAUUAUGAAAACUCAAAUCAUUCAGACUCCCCUUGGUUUGGUUUGGAAAAAUCAAGACCCAGAAGCUGGUUCUGUAGGAAUCACACUAUCAAUGUGUUCCAACAAUUUGAUAUUUUUUCCUUGUAAUGAGACUCGUUUCCAGGAAAUAAGCUCACAACCCACUCAUGGCAAUUAAUUGGAACUUCAAUAAGGUCACACACCAACGUCACAACCAAAGUGACAGACAACUGACUUGACAUCAUUUACCCUCCUUUGCUAGAUUCCAUUCUCUGGUUAGACCUACCACAGGUUAGAUGAUCUAGGAAUAUGGCCACCCUGCCCAAGUAUACACUAGCUUGAGCACAUUUGGGCAAGCAUCAUACAGAGUUAAAUGUGGACGAUGAGGGCAUGAUGUAACUGAUAUUAUGACUANNNNNNNNNNNNNNNNNNNNNNNNNNNNNNNNNAUCAGCACCACCAGCACCGUUGCCGCACGUCUUCACCAUAAUAGGGCCUCGACCGCGCUUCACUCGAUCCAGCCCCAUGAUCACCAGCUUCCUCAGUGGAGUCUUGAAGAGGAGCACCAUGAUCAUAGCCAUUUCGGCGAAUAUCACCGUGAACAGUAGCUGAAUCAUCUCCGACCAGCGAGAUCUCACGGCUGCGAACGAGAGAGAGACUUUCGGUUCGACGGCUCAGAUGAGGGCUGUAGGUCAAUACGAUGAGACGAGAUGUCUCGGAACAGAGAGUGAGCAGAGCUUAAGAAGAGAUGGAAGGAAGAAGAGACCCACAGUCUGAGACUAUAAAAUUAUUUAUUUAAUAUACUUUAUUUUUAGGUUUUAGAAUUAAGAGAAUUAUUUAUUAUGUUUUAAGUGUGAAAAAAAAACAAUGAAAAACAUUAAAAUAAUUGAUUUUAAUAUAAAUAUAAUAAUUUAUUUUAUGAACUACAUCACAAAUAAAAUAAAAAUUUAUUUAAAAUAUUAUUAACAAUGAGUUUAUUAUUUUUCAUGUUAUUUUCCAUCACAUAAAUUUAUUCAAUAAAAAAAUCCAUGAUUAAAAUUAGCAUAACAACUUUUAGUUUUUAUAUAUUAAUAUUUUAAAUUUGAAUAAAGAUUUAAAAAAUUAAUAACAUUGUUGUUUUUUUUUUUGUGUUUUUAAUAUAUUUCUAAUUAUUAAUUUAAAAAAAAAUGAUAUUAGUAUAUUUAUGAAUUAAUUUCAUUAGAUAAAAAAAUAUCAUAAAUAAAAUGGUAAGAAAAAUAUAUUUGUGAGUGUGAAAGUGAAGUCAUUUAGUGGGAUAUUUAAAAUACAAAAAAAAAAUUACUAUUUUUUAAAAUUCAAUAGCACAUCACUUGAAUAAUUUUAUUAACAUAAUACGUGAAGGUAGCCCAAUUAAUUUGGGGGAAUACCAAGAAAUAUGGUACUAAUUCGAAUCUUACCACUGAUGAUAUCUAAAAUUUAUCCGAUACUGGUUGUUUGGUCACCAUCGUGAGAUUUAGGUCCCUAUAAAAAGUUUUAAGAACUUAGUCAUAAAAAGUUCCUCAAAGAUUCUUCAUAUUAAAAAAAAAAAUUAUUAACACAAUACAAGAUUUAUAAAAAAAUUUAAUAUAAAAAUCUUAAUAGGAAGCCAAAAAAAGUAUAUUAUUUUUUUAUAAAAAUUCUAUUUCGGCUUGUAAAUCAAUUCUGUGGUGUUCAAUAAAAUUUUAUAUCUCACAAAAGUUCAAUUUCAACUUAUUUAAGAAGCCCGCUGUAUACUUAAUAAAAUAUUUAAAAUAUAAUAAUAAUGUCUUUUAAAAUGAUGACUUUUACCUGAAUUCGAUAAUUUUAAUUAAAGCCAAAAAAUAAAAAUCCAUUUGCCAUUAUAAUAUUUUUGAAAACUCAUUUAUAAAAAAAUUAAGCUCCGUUUAACAAAGGUUUAAAAAUAGUUUUCAAAUGAUUUUUAAAAACAAAAUUUUUCAAAAUUAAUUUUGGAACAAACCCUGAAUGCAAGAUGAUAAUGAGUGUUAAUAAAAGUCCAAAUUCUUUCAAACUUUGAAACCCCAAUUAAAAAAAUUUAAAAUCUAAGUCGGCAGCUCCAAUAUGUGACCAACAUUUUUCAAAGUUUUGAGUACGAAAAGAGAAGAGUGAAGUAAGAAAGCAUGGAGAAAACAGAAAAGGCAGGCAACAAAGAUUAAUUAAAGUUAGGCCCACUACCCAUAGGCCUUUAAAUUUUGAAAUCUUUCAAUUCCAUCCACUUGUUUUUUAAUUUUCCAAUAAGAGAACCAAUUUAAUUUUGAAAUCAAAAGUAUCUCAAGGAUACUGUUUUUUUUUUUUUUUUUAAAUGGUCUUCGACCACAAUUUUAAAAAAUAAUUCUUGAAUAAAAGUUAUUUUUUUAAUUUUUAUAUUAAAAUAAAAUAUGUAAGCAUCUUAAAUAUAUUAAUAUUUAAAAAAAUUUAAAAACAAAUAAACAGGUGAGUAAUUAUGACUGGUUUGCUCACAAUUGAAUCCACUCCCAUAUUUUUUUAGAUGAGAUUCAAGGUGGAAUUCACAUGCAACAAAGGUCUUAAACACUCAGACCAACCACACUAUGGUGGUGUUUGUUUUUUUUAUUUAAUUUUAUAUAGAACUUUAAUGCUUAAUAGUGUUAAAUAUUAGAUUAUUUGUUUUUGUAGUAUUUUAUUUAUAUUAAGUAUUAAAAAUUAAAAAAACCAAUAUAUUAUUUUUUCUAUUUAGAAAAAAGCUAUAUAUUUUGAUUUUUUUUAUUUAGUAAAAAGUUUAUAAUAAGUCAUGAAAAAAUAGAAAAACAAACAAUCUAAAUUUUAAAACUAAAUUGCUUUUAACAAAAAGCCAAAAAAAUAAACAUCACCUACAACAAAUUUCUGAAUUAAUUCCAGCCCCACCUUCAUCAAGAAGGAUCCAACCAACAAUAUCAAUGUCAAAUUUAUACAACUAACCAAUAGAGUCAACAACCAUGAUCAUAGGCCGUUGCCAAGCAAUAAAAGUAGAUCUCCUUUUGGGGCAUGUUCAUUUUACAUUUGAAUAUUGCAGAGGGAUGCUGAAAAGCAAUGGGGGAUUGGUGGGGCAAAGUGACAAUGUGUUCACAUUCACAACCCACUCCUACACUUUCUUCUCUUUCGCUCAUUCUUGAAUUCAUUUUUGCCAAAAUUUAUAUCACAUAAGCUUAUCACUGAUAGAAAGAUAUAUAGGUUGUAAUUACAACCUUUAUGUUAGGUUGAUUAAUUUAAAGAAAGGAAAGGAAAUUUUAAAAAAAUUAUGGGAAAUAAUUUAAUAAUAUUUGGAUUUCAUAAAGAAAAAUGUAUUUCUUAGAUCUAGUUUGUAUAUGAUUUCUUUUCUUUUUUUAAAAGAAAAACAUAAAAUAAUAAUAAUUUUGGUAUAAAAAUUAGAAAUUUUUAUAAAAAAAUGUAGAAUUACCUUAUGUUCUUAAAAAUUACUUUACAAUAUUUUAAAUUUUUUUUCUAAUUACUCAAUUUUUUAAAAUGGGUUUUAAAAAUCAUUAUAUUUUUAAUUUAAAUCUUUGAGAGUUGUUGUCUUUUAUAUAGAAGAUAUUAUUAUAUUGGGCUUUUAAAAAUAUAAAAUAGAAAAUAUACCGAAAUGGAUACUUAUUAAUUUAAUUAUUAAUAAGAACCUUUUUUAAGCCUUCCAAAACAAAGAACCAGAAAAUUAAUUUAAACAUAGGAGAUAGUUAAGAUCCCUGGACAAAUUUUAGGUUUACAUUUUCCUUAAAGGUCAACAGAUUAUUGUUUGUCAACCCCAUGAAAUCUUUAUGAAAACUGAAACCUAACAAACAAUUUAUACAUCUUGGAGUGAUCUACUUAACUUUUCCUUCCUGCUGUAUUCUGAUUCUCAGCAUGAAAAUUCUUUAGUACUUUAUAAUGGGUCUCAAAUUCAAUGGAGUGACAACAAUGUACCGUAAAGAGAAUCAUUCGGUAGCAAAUCCAACAUUGAGUAUAUGGUUUAUGGAUUAAAGCCAACCACCCACCCCCAUUGGAAAAUGAAAUUGACCCGGAAAAUGCAUCAGUUUUAGUUGAAUUCAUAAUUUCUUAAUUUUCAGUUUUGGUGAGCAGAUGUGUUCAAAUUGCUGUAUAGAAAAUGGACUAAUUCAAUUUCCAUGGAAUAUUCAGAUCUUUUAGCAGUCUGAUUUCAAUUGAAUGAAUGAAUACAUGAAUUACUAGAUUGUACAGCCCUAUUGUGUUUAUAGACAAGGUUAGCUUACAAUGAUAUACAAGAUUUAGUGUAUUAUCAACAAAACUAAGGAUGAACCUCUAGGAUAUUAGAAGAGCUUGCUUGCGAACUCUUCAAUGGCCUCUCCUUUUUUGGAAGAAGAAUAAGAGGAUGCUGCCAGAUCCUUGAGCCCGGACAAGCUUCUUCCUAGCUGUAGAGCCACCUUCGUUUCAAACAAUUCCCCGUUCUCUCUUCUCCCCACAUCUCUUUCAUUCAGAUUUGACUCUAUGGUCUCUUCCAUCAUCCGGAAGAAGCCUGCGUUGCUUCUAUACAUCUCAAACACCAUGCCCAUUUGCCCGCCAUGCUCCAUUGUGUUCACCACGCUUGCCAUGGCUCCAGCUACGACUCCUAGUGUGGCGGCCCAGGGACCGUGAGAAGAUCCCACGAACGCAGUUCCACAAGCCGCUAAGCCUGUCAAUAAGGGACCAGAAAUGGCGAGCAUCCUGUUAACUUUCAAGGCUAUUUUGCCCAGCCUCAAAUAGUCUUCAGUGUCCUUUCUCUUCAAAACCCCAACUACUUCUCUCAUUUCUUCCUCCAACUCCACACUCCAACCAUUUCCAUCUGUUCUCCCACUCUGCCUGUCCUGCCUUCGCCUGUGCUCCGGCCACCAUACAGCAGGCUCCACAGUUUUGGGGAAUUUAUCGAGCAUCGCUCCUAGUAAAGGAAGCGGGAAGGCCUUGUCCAGUGACAAAACUUUCUCCAUAACUUCCUCAACAUCGGUACUAGUAGGAGUGCCACAAGAGAGUGUUCUUUGAAUCUGGCCAUGAAGCUGCUUAAACAACCUCGCGGCAUUGCGCUGUUCUUCGACGAGUUGAGAUGGCUGGAUCUUAUUCAUCACCACCAACAUCCCAGUGGCUGCCAAAUACAUCAGAGUGGAAGAGAGCUUGAGAGCUACAAGGGGUCCUCCUACACUUGUAGCAGCAAUUCCAGCCAUGGUUGCAGCAGUGAGUGUGAUUGCAUUAAUCGAUGUCAAAAGAAGAUGGUUCCAAUUAUCACGCUGCUCCCCGAUAUUCUUGUGCAUCUCCACUCUAUCUGCCACAGCCUCCAUGAUUGCAUGGAGUUUAGCAAUCACCGAAGGAUCAGAAACAUCGCUCACAGAAGGGAAAAUACCAUUAGUACUCGGCUCGUAUUUCUUCUCCAAAUUGCUGGUGGUUGCAGCUGUGAGACCAACUCCCAUGUCCAGUACUUCCUGUAGUACCAAAUCUCUAGCGGGGAGGUUCAAAGAUAGGCGGCCGGGCUGGAGUUUAGGCAUAUUGAUAGUAGCUCUUAUCAUUCCUCUCCGGCAACGAGAUGAGGAAUAAGCCACUGACGUAAUAACAGCCGAUGAAAAUUGAAGACUCACCAUGUCCUCUCCUUGAACGAUCUGUAUGAGUUUCUUCUUGUUGCUAAGAUUGGUUGAUUCUAAUGGGUAUGUAGUGAAUGGCUUAGGCUUGUAGUGAAAUGUGGUGGCAAUGCAACCUGGAUUAUAUAUAGGGAAUGGGAGUGGACCAAGUACGCUAUUCAACGUUUGAAUGGUCUCAUGGGUCUUGGCUUAGACCUUUUCUUGUCUUUGGUUAAUUGGUGUUUCACCUCUCAAUUACGCUGCUUGUCAAAUAGGGCAUUGAGGCAGUACUUCAUUGACUUUUAACCUGCGAAAACCAGUAAAACCUUGAAAUAGGCGUAGGCAUUACAAGUACAUAUUUUAAUUAAGAGUUCAAAAUCCCAAUGAGUACGAACAAUUCCUUCAGCUCAUUAUCACUCGUUAGAGAUAUUUGUCAAAUGUUUUUGAGGUGAUAUAUGAUGAAGAAUUUAAAUUUAAAUUCCCAAUAAGGGGUCAUGACCAGAAAUAAUAAAAUCAACUUUUGCUUCUCCAAUAUUUCUGGGUCUGAAUUCUGUAGCCACAUAUCGUUGAUCAGCAGAUAUAUUUGACGUAACUAAAACAUGGGAUUUGUUCAAAGAUUACAAGUAUUUUGAGCAUUAUCACCAUUAUUUGGUCAAAAAGUGCUACUGUUAUAAUCCAACAUUCAGCCUGUCUGAGACCCAAAUGUUAUGGCUUAAAGCAAGCACUAAGUGCAUUGUAUGGUCAAAUUAAUGGAUACUUCAAGCAAAAAUCUAUGUUGUAUGUUAAGACGAGGUAUGAAUGAAAUAUUUGGUAUUUGCCUUUUAAGUUUAUGGUUUGAUUUAUACUAGUGAAUGUACGUAUUAUUUUAAUGAAAGAAUUUUAAAAAGAUGAUGAUCACUAAAUUUGAGAUGAUUGAUUUAACUUGAUGAGUUAUUUUCUUAUGUUGGAAAUACAGAAAUUUUUAUUUUUCAAGAGAAGUAUAAAAAUAUUCUUCUUUAGAAAUUUGAAAUGAAGAACUAAAAUCUAAUGAAAACUCUUAUGAAUGUCAAUGAAAAAUUUUAUUUGAAUGAUAGGGGAUAAAAGGUUGAUAUUCAAGAGUAAUGAAGUUUGGUUGGUAGCUUGUUAUAUCUCACCAAUAAUAGGUUAAAUAUUAUGCAAGCAACAAGUCUCUUAUUAAGGCUUAUGCAAAGUUCAAGCAAGCUUUAUUAUGAUGCAAGUAAGAAAGUCUUAAGAUAUUUAAAAGGAACAAGUUCAUAUAGUAUUUGGUACACUAAUAUAACUGAUCUUUAGCUUUGUUUUUUUUUUAAAAAUUUUGUAGUGAUUGGAUAGGUUUCAUCGAAGAUUGAAAAAUAACCAUAGGCUAUAUUUUCAAUCUUAGUUCAGGUUUGUGGAAUUCAAAGAGUCAUCAAUUGCUUUGUCUUCCUUAGAAGCGGAACAUAUUGCAACAACUUUUAGAGCUUAUGAAAUUAUUUGGUUAAGAGGAAUUUUAGAAGAUAUGAAACAACAUUAAGAAGAGCCCACAAUUAUCCAUUAUGAUAAUCAUUCAACGAUUUUUGUGACAAACAACCUCCAUGUUUCAUGGGUGCACAAAACAUAUAAAGAUACUUUUUCAUUUUAUCAAAGAGUUGGUAGUCAAAGUUAUUAUUAAGAUGAUAUAUUAUAACAUCAAUGAAUAACUUGGUGAUAUAUUUAUGAAAUCUCUAUCUUUAGAGAUAUUUGAGUUUUCACGGAUAUUUUAGGAGUUGCAACAUUUCAGCAUUAAGUAGAGAGUUGGAAUUAAUGUUGAUAUUUUAUUGGUUAGCUACAAUUUUAUUUUAAAUCAAAUAAAAUAAAAAAUAUAGUAUACCAUCUUUGGAAGUAUUCCAUACUUGUAUAAGUGGAUUAGUGUUAGUCAACUAGUAGUUAACUUAUUUAAGAAUUUGUUAGAGUUGGAUUGUUUAUUUAAAUGCAAAUUGAUUAAUAAAAAAUCAAUCUAAUUCAAUUAGACUUCUUGCUUCUUAUCCAAACAUUUUUAAGUGCUCUAUUUUAUUUUUACUUCUCACUUCUUAAUAGUUGAACUUCUUUUGGAUUAUCAGGCUCAUUCCUUAACUUAGGCUUUCUUUGGUGCGAUCGAUCUCACUUGUAGAUUUAGAAAUAUUUCCCUCAAAUAUGGGAAGAAAAUUGUGAAAAUAUUUCAAUUAAAAAGUAAAGAGUGUGUGUGGGAGGAGGAGGGAAAACAGGGAAACUAGAAUUAUACCAGGCACAUGCAAUGAUGCUGUGGAAGAUGACACGGAACUGGAGCAACACAUACUGGUGAUUGACCCAUCCCACCACCGGCUUGAAGGCCCAGAGCCGCAUUUACAUCCAUUAGAGAUUUUCAAAAGGAUGUAAUCAUAUCUGAUAGUGUAAAUAAUGAUCAAUGUAUACAGCACUGCUGGAUAAUCCUUCUUGAUCUUAGUUUUCACAUGGGUCUAGGGUCUUCUUGCAUUUCAUAAGAGUAUACAAUCUAAGGGUCUGGUCAUGGACUGUAAGUAUUUUAUAUCAAUGCCUCUAUGCCAAGCCUAGUCACCAAUCUGCAAUUUUUUUAGGCUUUGUUUAUAUGGUUGUUUACUCUAAAUUAAAUAUUGAUUGAGGAAUUUCUUAUGCCAAUAUGUAGCAAGGUCAACCAGGGAACUGGUUUACAUCCAAUGCCUUCAUUGCAUCUAUCUCUGAUGUGCAUAUGGCCCUCUAUUCCUAUGUAUUGCUUGCAAGAUUCCAUAUAGUAUUGAAGUUAUACAAGGAUCAAGGUGAGGGUUGCCUACCUAUAUUUCCAUGAAACUUGAAGAUAUGAUCAUGGACAUUACCCUCAACAACCAGCCCAUAGUAGACCAUUUAUACAAAGUUGUUCCAAGGUGAAGAUGUCAAUUAUUCGAUGACCCCCUGAAAUAAAUAAUUUAAUUCGGCAAUUAAUUAGAAUAGAACAACACGUUAGACAUAAAUCAGUACCCGUAGUAGACCCUAGGAUUUCCGGAAAUUUAAGGUUCACAUUUAACCCUAAAACUCCAUGAAAUCUAUAUAAAAACUGGAACAUUAUUUCUACAUCUUGGAGUCUAUUAAUUAAUUUUUCCUUCUUGUUGGAUUCAAAUUCCCAGCAUCAAAGUUCGUUAAAAUUCAAUGGAGUGACAACUAUCUACUGUAAAGAAAGAAUCAUUUGGUGGCAAACCCACCAUUUACUUUGCCUUAUGAUAGAAGUCAGAACCUCCUCAGACUCAAAAGUAUCUGCCUUAUUUCAAUAGAGUUCAAACGAAGGAAUGAUAAUUUUGACCUUUUCCAUGUAUAGUUUACACUGUUUUUCCUCCCCUCUAUAUAUAGUAUAUAUGGACUCGACUAACCCACCAACCCCAUACGAAAAUGAAACUUUUCUGUCUCAGAAGCUGCAUUUUCUUAGUUGCCAUUUAGAUUUUCAUGCUUUCUUCACUAGAAAAAAAAAAAAAAAAAAACCAAAGAAAUUUUAGAUGAUAAAGAAAAAGUAUAAAGUAUUGCAUUGUUUAUUAUUCAUGGACUUUCAUCUCCAAAUUGACCCAGAAAUACAUCGGUUUUAGCUGAAAGCAUAUAAAACUUUUUAAUUUUCAGUUUCGGUGAGCAGAUGUGUUCAAAUUGCUGAAUAGAAAACGGACUAAUUCAAUUUCCAUGGAAUAUUCAGACCUUUUAGCAGUCUGAUUUCAAUUGAAUGAAUGAAUAAAUGAAUUACUAGAUUGUACAGCCCUAUUGUGUUUAUAGACAAGGUUACAAUGAUAUACAAGAUUUAGUGUAUUAUCAACAAAACUGAGGAUGAACCACCACGAUAUUAGAAGAGCUUGCUUGCAAACUCUUCAAUGGCCUCUCCUUUUUUGGAAGAAGAAUAAGAGGAUGCUGCCAGAUCCUUGAGCCCGGACAAGCUUCUUCCUAGCUGUAGAGCCACCUUCAUUUCAAACAAUUCCCCAUUCUCUCUUCUCCCCACAUCUCUUUCAUUCAGAUUUGACUCUAUGCUCUCUUCCAUCAGCCGGAAGAAGCCUGCGUUGCCUCUAUACAUCUCAAACACCAUGCCCACUUGCCAGCCAUGCUCCAUUGUGUUCACCACGCUUGCCAUGGCUCCAGCUACGACUCCUAGUGUCGCGGCCCAGGGACCAUGAGAAGAUCCCACGAACGCAGUUCCACAAGCCGAUAAGCCUGUCAAUAAGGGGCCAGAAAUGGCGAGUAUCUUGUUAACUUUCAAGGCUAUUUUGCCCAGCCUCAAAUAGUCUUCAGUGUCCUUCCUCUUCAAAACCCCAACAACUUCUCUCAUUUCUUCCUCCAACUCCACACUCCAACCAUUUCCAUCUGUUCUCCCACUAUGCCUUUCCUGUCUUUGCCUGUGCUGCGGCCACCAUACAGCAGGUUCCACAGUUUUGGGGAAUUUAUCAAGCAUGGCUCCUAGUAAAGGAAGCGGGAAUGCCUUGUCCAGUGCCAAAACUUUCUCCAUGGCUUCCUCAACAUCGUUACUAGUAGGAGUGCCACAAGAGAGUGUUCUUUGAAUCUGGCCAUGAAGCUGCUUAAACAGCCUCGCAGCAUUGCGCUGUUCUUCGACGAGUUGAGAUGGCUGUAUCUUAUUCAUCACCACCAACAUCCCAGUGGCUGCCAAAUACAUCAGAGUUGAAGAGAGCUUCAGGGCCACAAGGGGUCCUCCUACACUUGUAGCAGCAAUUCCAGCCAUGGUUGCAGCAGUGAGUGUGAUUGCAUUAAUGGAUGUCAAAAGAAGAUGGUUCCAAUUAUCACGCUGCUCCCCGAUAUUCUUGUGCAUCUCCACUCUAUCUGCAACAGCCUCCAUGAUUUCAUGGAGCUUAGCAAUCACCAUAGGAUCAGAAACAUUGCUCACAGAAGGCAAAGUAGUAUUAGGUCUGGACUCGUAUUUCUUCUCUACAUGGCUGGUGGUUGCAGCUGUGAGACCAACUCCCAUGUCCAGUACUUCCUGUACCAGAUCUCUAGCGGGGAGCUUCAGAGAUAGGCCGCCAGUCCGGAGCUUAGGCAUAUUGAUAGUAGCUCUUAUCAUUCCUCUCCGGCAACAAGAUAAGGAAUGAGGCAAUGAACCAAUAACGCCUGAAGAUUGAAGACUUGCCAUGUCCUCUCCUCGUACGAUCUGUAUGAGUUUCUUCUGGUUGCUAAGAUUGGGUUAUUCUAAUGGACGGGUAUUGAAUGGCUUAGGCUUGAAGAAGUGUAGUGAAAUGGGGUGGAGAUGCAACCUGGAUUAUAUAUAGGGAAUGGGAGUGGACCAAGUAUGCUGUUCAACGUUUGAAUGGGAUCAUGGGUCUUGAUUUAGACUGUUUCUCGUCUUCGGUUUAUUGGGGGUUUCACCCUUCAAUUAGGCUGCUUAUAAGCCAGGGCAUUCAAGCAGUCCUCCAUUGACUUUCAACCUGAAAAAACCAGUAAAACCAAGGAAUUGGCAAAGACAUUACAAGUAUAUAUAUUUUAAUUAACUGUACAAAAUCCGAAUGAUUAUGAACAAUUCCCACAGCUCAUUUAUGACUUUUUAGAGAUAUUUGUCAAAUGGAUUGAGGUAAUAUAUGACCAAGAAUUUAAAUUCAAAUUCGUGGUAAUAGCACUAAUGGGUCAUGACCACAAACAAUAAAAUCAAUCUUUAAUUUGCUUCUCCAAUAUUUCUGGGUUUCAAACCUGUAGCCAUGGACACCACCUUUUUUUUUUUUUUUUUUCUUUGUUUCCCCUCUUCUUCUUUUUUUUUUUUUUUUUUUUUUGUGACUAAAUUGUUGCAAAAUUUAAUGAGAAAUUUAAAUACUUUGCACUGAAACCUCUUGUGCCUUGCUUAUCACAAUGAUAACACUUAAAUUACCUAAUCUUUCUUGUUGCCUUUCUAUUUAGUUUUUCUUAAUCCAUAUUCUUUAGUUACUUUGUGACUAUCACCUAAAAUAGUAUUUUCCCAAUCAAAAUAACAAAAUGAAUCCUCCACUCGUGAUUUCUAUGUUUGAGUGAGUGGGUAUAUGAGAGAAAGAGAGUCCAAUGGUAAGAAAUUAAUAUGUGAAAUUGAAAAUAAUUAAAAAAUUUACCUAUUUCAAGUGCUCAAUUCUUACCUGAAUGCAUGAGGGCUUUUAGAUUUUCACCAAAAAAAUAUGAGAAAACUCAUAUACCUAGGAUUAUAAUGUUAAGAGGUUUAUAAUUUAUCGAAAAAAAUAAAAAUUAUAAUAAACAAUUGAUCAAUCAUCAUGUAGACAGUCAAACUGUAAACAAAUUUAACAACAUUUAUAUCGCUAUAUAUUGAAAUCGUGCAAUCAAUCCACAAAUUGACCAAAAAUACUUACUCCAUCACAUCUAAUGGUUUGAUGAUAUUUAAUAUUUAAAUUUUGGGAACCAAACAUAUUCUAAGAAAUGCCUUUUUUUUUUUUAACUAGAUCCAUCAUCCUCGGCUGUUGCCAAACAAUACUAAAAUUAGAUCUCCUUUUGGGCAUUUCAAUUAUAUAUUUGAACAAUGCAAAGGGGUGAUAAUAUAAUUAUGUUACCAGUUCUUCACUUUUGAGUAAAUAAAUGGGAAUGGUGAGGACAAAGGGAUAAUGUCUGCACAUCGACAAGCCACCCCACAAUUUCUUCUCUUUUGGUCAUAUUCUUGAUUGCAUUUUCGCCAAAGUUCACAUCACAUAAAUUUAAAAUUAAUUAAAUGAAAGGUAAUCAUAGAAAAUGUAGCCAUAAUUACGACCUUAAUGCCUCUUGGAGUCUAUUUAAUGGAAUGACAACUAUCUACUGUAAAAAGAAUCAUUUGGUAGCAAACAUAUUCGUUGACUUUGGCUCCUAUGAUAAAAGUCAGUGUCUCCUCGACACACUGUCUUAUUUCAAUAGAGUUCAAACAAGGAAUGAUAAUUUUGAACUUUUCCAUGUGUGGAUCAUUAAUUACGUGGUUUGUCUUCUUCCAAUGACUUUUAUGCAUAUUAUGGAUUCUAAUAGCCAUCCAACCCCAUAAGAAAAUGAAAAUUUCAACCUCAGGAGCCGCAUUUUCUUAGUUGUCAUUUGGAUUAUCAUGCUUUCUUGCACUAGAAAGAAAACCAAAGAAACUUAGAUGAUAAAGAAAAUCGAUAAAUUAUCACAGUGACCCGGAAAAUGCAUCAGUUUUAGUUGAAUUCAUAAUUUCUUAAUUUUCAGUUUUGGUGAGCAGAUGUGUUCAAAUUGCUGUAUAGAAAAUGGACUAAUUCAAUUUCCAUGGAAUAUUCAGACCUUUUAGCAGUCUGAUUUCAAUUGACUGAAUGAAUACAUGAAUUACUAGAUUGUACAGCCCUAUUGUGUUUAUAGACAAGGUUAGCUUACAAUGAUAUACAAGAUUUAGUGUAUUAUCAACAAAACUGAGGAUGAACCACCACGAUAUUAGAAGAGCUUGCUUGCGAACUCUUCAAUGGCCUCUCCUUUUUUAGAAGAAGAACAAGAGGAUGCUGCCAGACUCUUGAGCCCGGACAAGCUUCUUCCUAGCUGUAGAGCCACCUUCGUUUCAAACAAUUCCCCGUUCUCUCUUCUCCCCACAUCUCUUUCAUUCAGAUUUGACUCUAUGCUCUCUUCCAUCAUCCGGAAGAAGCCUGCGUUGCUUCUAUACAUCUCAAACACCAUGCCCACUUGCCCGCCAUGCUCCAUUGUGUUCACCACGCUUGCCAUGGCUCCAGCUACGACUCCUAGUGUGGCGGCCCAGGGACCGUGAGAAGAUCCCACGAACGCAGUUCCACAAGCCGCUAAGCCUGUCAAUAAGGGACCAGAAAUGGCGAGCAUCCUGUUAACUUUCAAGGCUAUUUUGCCCAGCCUCAAAUAGUCUUCAGUGUCCUUUCUCUUCAAAACCCCAACUACUUCUCUCAUUUCUUCCUCCAACUCCACACUCCAACCAUUUCCAUCUGUUCUCCCACUCUGCCUGUCCUGCCUUUGCCUGUGCUCCGGCCACCAUACAGCAGGCUCCACAGUUUUGGGGAAUUUAUCGAGCAUCGCUCCUAGUAAAGGAAGCGGGAAGGCCUUGUCCAGUGACAAAACUUUCUCCAUAACUUCCUCAACAUCGGUACUAGUAGGAGUGCCACAAGAGAGUGUUCUUUGAAUCUGGCCAUGAAGCUGCUUAAACAACCUCGCGGCAUUGCGCUGUUCUUCGACGAGUUGAGAUGGCUGGAUCUUAUUCAUCACCACCAGCAUCCCAGUGGCUGCCAAAUACAUCAGAGUGGAAGAGAGCUUGAGAGCUACAAGGGGUCCUCCUACACUUGUAGCGGCAAUUCCAGCCAUGGUUGCAGCAGUGAGUGUGAUUGCAUUAAUGGAUGUCAAAAGAAGAUGGUUCCAAUUAUCACGCUGCUCACCGAUAUUCUUGUGCAUCUCCACUCUAUCUGCAACAGCCUCCAUCAUUGCAUGGAGUUUAGCGAUCACCAAAGGAUCAGAAACAUUGCUCACAGAAGGGAAAGUACCAUUAGUACUCAGCUCGUAUUUCUUCUCCAAAUUGCUGGUGGUUGCAGCUGUGAGACCAACCCCCAUGUCCAGUACUUCCUGUAGUACCAAAUCUCUAGCGGGGAGGUUCAAAGAUAGGCGGCCGGGCUGGAGUUUAGGCAUAUUGAUAGUAGCUCUUAUCAUUCCUCUCCGGCAACGAGAUGAGGAAUAAGCCACUGACGUAAUAACAGCCGAUGAAAAUUGAAGACUCACCAUGUCCUCUCCUUGAACGAUCUGUAUUGAGUUUCUUCUUGUUGCUAAGAUUGGUUGAUUCUAAUGGGUAUGUAGUGAAUGGCUUAGGCUUGUAGUGAAAUGUGGUGGCAAUGCAACCUGGAUUAUAUAUAGGGAAUGGGAGUGGACCAAGUACGCUAUUCAACGUUUGAAUGGUCUCAUGGGUCUUGGCUUAGACCGUUUCUUGUCUUUGGUUCAUUGGUGUUUCACUGCUUGUCAGCUUGGGCAUCGAGGCAGUACUUCAUUGACUUUCAACCUGCAAAAACCAGUAAAACCUUGAAAUAAUAAAAUCAACCUUUUGCUUCUCCAAUAUUUCUGGGUCUGAAUUCUGUAGCCAUAUAUCGUUGAUCAGCAGUGACGUAACUAAAACAUGGGAUUUGUUCAAAGAUUACAAGUAUUUUGAGCAUUAUCACCAUUUUAUGAAAUUUCCAGACGUCUUUCUUUCCAAUCAACAUACCGUAUUCCAAUGAGAGAAUAGGCUUUCUUUUUGUCAAUUUUUUUUUAAAAAAUUUUAUGACUAAAUCACAAAUUCAAAAUAAUUUAUUAGUAGGGUCAAUUAUUAUUCAAAAAUAACAAUGAGAAAUAAAGAGAUAAGUUUAGUCUUGAUAUUUUUUUUUUUUCUUACAAGCUUUAUAGUUUUUAUUUUUAUUUUUUAUCUAUACGUAUAUAUUUGAUUUUCUUCCUAUUUCUAUGACAAAUCAAAUAGAUAUUUUGAGUUUUUUAUAUUUUAUUUUAUUUUUUCCUUUUUUAUGAUCCUAACACAAGGUAAUUAAUUAUCAGAAAAAAAUCCCUCAAUUAUUAUAGGAAUUAUAUUAUAAUAAAAUGAUUGGUCUCAUUAAUGUUUAUAAUAUAAUUAAGAUAAUUGAUAAUAUAUAGAAGAAAAUGGAGAAGUUGUUGUUCUCAAUUAUAGUUUAUUUAAUAAAAAAAAAACAUUUUAAAUAUUUUUCUAACUUAGAAAACAAGUUUACAAAACUUGUACAAAAUCAAAAAUUUUUAAAAAUAAUUCUGAAAAUAAAACAUUUUUUCUUUUAAAAAAAAAAUUGACAAGUUUUCAAUUGUUUUUAAAGAAUAUUUUGAGUAAGAAAAAUGCUUUGGGACUUUUUCAUGGUACAUAAAAUAUAUAAAUACUUCUUAAGAAUAAACCACCAAAACUAUUUUUUAUAUUAAAUUUCUAAUCAAAAUUUUGUUAAUUUUGUUAAUUUUUCUUUUAAAAACGAUUAAGAAUUACUCUUAAUAUCUGUUCUAAAACUGUCGGCCCUUUGUAUUUGACUGGUCGCUGGACCAUGGAGCGGCGGUUAGAAUUUGACAGUUUGGCGGCAUCCUUUAGCAAAGAUGAGGUCAUGGGAAUAGGAGGACAGGCGCCAGUGGGCGCUGGCCCUAGUUUAUUUGGUCAAAAAGUGCUACUGUUAUAAUCCAACAUUCAGCCCUCCAUGGAAAUUGUCUUGAGACCCAAAUGUUAUGGCUUAAAGCAAGCACUAAAUGCAUCGUAUGAUCAAAUUAAUGGAUACGUCAAGGAACAAAGUGAAAAUCUAUGUUGUAUGUUAAGACAGGAGGUAUGAAUGAAAUACUUAGUAUUUGCCUUUAAGUUUAUGAUUUGAUUUAUACUAAUAAAUGUAUUAUUUUAAUGAAAGGAUUUUAAAAAGAUGAUGAUGAUUAAUUUGAGAUGAUUGAUUUAACUUGACGAGUUAUUUUCUUACCUGAUGAGUUGUUUUCUUAUGUUGGAAGUCAUCUAAUGGGAUGCAAAAAAAUUUAUUUUUCAAGAGAAGCAUGAAAAUAAUCUUCUGAAUGCCAAUAAAAAUUUUUGUUUAAAUGAUAAGGAAGAAAAGGUUGAUAUUCAAAUAUAAUGAAGUUUGAUUGGUAGCUUAUUAUAUCUCACCAACAAUGGGUUAGAUAUUAUGUAAGCAACAAAUCUCUUAUUAAGGUUUAUGCAGAAUUCAAGCAAGUUUCAUUACGGUGCAAGUAAGAAAGUAUUAAAAUAUUUAAAAUGAACAAGUUCAUAUAGAAUUUGGUACACUAAUACAACUGAAAGGAAAACCUGGUGACCUAUAUAUUUUUAGUAGAAAACACUACCCAUAUUCUCUAUCAAUCUCCUAUUAAUCUUGGUUGUAAUAUCCAUAUUCUCUAUCAAUCUUCUACCAAUCUCGGUUGUAAUUUACAGCUCACACACAUCUCUUGUUACCAGUAUAUAAUACAAUGAAUCACAAAGGAAUGACAUGCUCUCAUUUUUUUAUUCUUUGUGUAAACCUAACAAUAACUAAUCGUUAGCUUUGGAUUUUUUUUUUUAUUGUGAUUGGAUAGGUUUAAUCGAAGAUUGAAAAAUAACCAUACACUAUAUUUUCAAUCUUAGUUCAGGUUAGUGGAAUUCAAAGAGUCAUCAAUUGUUUUGUCUUCCUUAGAAGCGGAACAUAUUGCAACAACUUUUAGAGCUCAUGAAAUUGUUUGGUUAAGAGGAAUUUUAGAAGAUAUGAAACAACAUCAAGAAGAGCCCACAAUUAUCCAUUAUGAUAAUAUUCAACAAUUUUUGUGACAAAGAACCUCCUUGUUUCAGGGGUGCACAAAACAUAUAGAGAUACUUCUUCAUUUUAUCAAAGAGUUGACGGUCAAAGUAACUAUUAAAAUGAUAUAUUAUAACAUCAAUGAAUAACUUGCCGAUAUAUUUAUGAAAUCUCUAUCUUUAGAGACAUUUGAGUUUUCUUGGAUAUUUUAGGAGUUGCAACAUUUCAGCAUUAAGUAGAGAGUUGGAAUUAAUGUUGAUAUUUUAUUGGUUAGCUACAAUUUUAUUUUAAAUCAAAUAAGAUACCAAAUUUUGUACUUGUAUAAGUGGGUUAGUAUUAGAAGGCUAGUAGUUAACUUAUUUAAGAAUUUGUUAGAGUCAGAUUGUUUAUUUAAAUGCAAAAUGAUGAAUAAAAAAUCAAUCUAAUUCAAUUAGACUUCUUGCUUCUUAUCCAAACUUUUUUAAGUGCUCUAUUUUAUUUUACUUCUCACUUCCUAAUAGUUGAACUUCUUUUGGAUUAUCAGGGUCAUUCCUUAACUUAGGCUUUCUUUGGUGCUAUCAUCUCGCUUGUAGAUUUAGAAAUAUUUCCCUCAAAUAUGGGAAGAAAAAUGUGAAAAUAUUUCAAUUAAAAAGUAAAGAGUAUGUGGGGGAGGAGGAGGGAAAACAGGGAAACUAGUAUUAUACCAGGCACAUGCAAUGAUGCUGUGGAAGAUGACACGGAACUGGCCCUCUAUUCCUAUGUAUUGUUUGCAAGAUUUCAUAUAAUAUUGAAGUUAUACAAGGAUCAAGGUGAGGGUUGCCUAACUAUAUUUCCAUGAAAACUUGAAGAUAUGAUCAUGGACAUUACCAGCCCAUAGUAGACCAUGAAUACAAAGUUGUUCCAAGGUGGAGAUGUCAAUUAUUCGAUCAUGAACACCUUAAAUAAAUAAUUUAAUUCGAAAAUUAAUUAGAAUAAAACAACACGUUUGACAUAAAUCAGUACCCAUAGUAGACCCUAGGAUUUCCGGAAAUUUAAGGUUCACAUUUAACCCUAGAAGUCAACAUGUGUGUAAAAGUACUCCACGAAAUCUAUAUAAAACUAGAACAUUAUUUCUAAAUCUUGGAGUCUAUUAAUUAAUUUUUCCUUCCUGUUGGAUUCUAAUUCUCAGCAUCAAAGUUCGUUAAAAUUAAAUGGAGUGACAACUAUCUAGUGUAAAGAAAGAAUCAUUUGGUGGCAAACCCACCAUUUACUUUGGCUUAUGAUAGAAGUCCGAACCUCCUCAGACUCAAAACUACCUGCCUUAUUUCAAUAGGGUCCAAACGAAGGAAUGAUAAUUUUGACCUUUUCCAUGUAUAGUUUACAUUGUUUUUCCUCCUCCAAUGGCCUCUAUAUAUAGUAUAUAUGGACUCGACUAACCCACCAAUCCCAUAAGAAAAUAAAACUUUUUUGUCUCAGAAGCUGCAUUUUCUUAGUUGCCAUUUGGAUUUUCAUGCUUUCUUCACUAGAAAAAAAAAACUAAAGAAACUUUAGAUGAUAAGGAAAAAGUAUUAAGUAUUACAUUGUUUAUUAUUCAUGGACUUUCACUCCAAAUUGACCCAGAAUACAUCGGUUUUAGCUGAAAGCAUAUAAAACUUAUUAAUUUUCAGUUUUGAUGAGCAGAUGUGUUCAAAUUGCUGUAUAGAAAACCGACUAAUUCAAUUUCCAUGGAAUAUUCAGACCUUUUAGCAGUCUGAUUUCAAUUGAAUGAAUGAAUAAAUGAAUUACUAGAUUGUACAGCUCUAUUGUGUUUAUAGACAAGGUUAGCUUACAAUGAUAUACAAGAUUUAGUGUAUUAUCAACAAAACUGAGGAUGAACCACCACGAUAUUAGAAGAGCUUGCUUGCGAACUCUUCAAUGGCCUCUCCUUUUUGGGAAGAAGAAUAAGAGGAUGCUGCCAGAUCCUUGAGCCCGGACAAGCUUCUUCCUAGCUGUAGAGCCAUCUUCAUUCAAACAAUUCCCCAUUCUCUCUUCUCCCCACAUCUCUUUCAUUCAGAUUUGACUCUAUGCUCUCUUCCAUCAGCCGGAAGAAGCCUGCGUUGCCUCUAUACAUCUCAAACACCAUGCCCACUUGCCCGCCAUGCUCCAUUGUGUUCACCACGCUUGCCAUGGCUCCAGCUACGACUCCUAGUGUCGCGGCCCAGGGACCAUGAGAAGAUCCCACGAACGCAGUUCCACAAGCCGCUAAGCCUGUCAAUAAGGGGCCAGAAAUGGCGAGUAUCUUGUUGACUUUCAAGGCUAUUUUGCCCAGCCUCAAAUAGUCUUCAGUGUCCUUCCUCUUCAAAACCCCAACAACUUCUCUCAUUUCUUCCUCCAACUCCACACUCCAACCAUUUCCAUCUGUUCUGCCACUAUGCCUUUCCUGUCUUUGCCUGUGCUGCGGCCACCAUACAGCAGGUUCCACAGUUUCGGGGAAUUUAUCAAGCAUGGCUCCUAGUAAAGGAAGCGGGAAUGCCUUGUCCAGUGCCAAAACUUUCUCCAUGGCUUCCUCAACAUCGUUACUAGUAGGAGUGCCACAAGAGAGUGUUCUUUGAAUCUGGCCAUGAAGCUGCUUAAACAGCCUCGCAGCAUUGCGCUGUUCUUCGACGAGUUGAGAUGGCUGGAUCUUAUUCAUCACCACCAACAUCCCAGUGGCUGCCAAAUACAUCAGAGUUGAAGAGAGCUAGAGGGCCACAAGGGGUCCUCCUACACUUGUAGCAGCAAUUCCAGCCAUGGUUGCAGCAGUGAGUGUGAUUGCAUUAAUGGAUGUCAAAAGAAGAUGGUUCCAAUUAUCACGCUGCUCCCCGAUAUUCUUGUGCAUCUCCACUCUAUCUGCAACAGCCUCCAUGAUUUCAUGGAGCUUAGCAAUCACCAUAGGAUCAGAAACAUUGCUCACAGAAGGCAAAGUAGUAUUACGUCUGGACUUGUAUUUCUUCUCUACAUGGCUGGUGGUUGCAGCUGUGAGACCAACUCCCAUGUCCAGUACUUCCUGUACCAGAUCUCUAGCGGGGAACUUCAGAGAUAGGCCGCCAGUCCGGAGCUUAGGCAUAUUGAUAGUAGCUCUUAUCAUUCCUCUCCGGCAACAAGAUAAGGAAUGAGGCAAUGAACCAAUAACGCCUGAAGAUUGAAGUCUUGCCAUGUCCUCCCCUCGUAUGAUCUGUAUGAGUUUCUUCUGGUUGCUAAGAUUGGGUUAUUCUAAUGGACGGGUAUUGAAUGGCUUAGGCUUGAAGAAGUGUAGUGAAAUGGGGUGGAGAUGCAACCUGGAUUAUAUAUAGGGAAUGGGAGUGGGCCAAGUAUGCUGUUCAACGUUUGAAUGGGCUCAUGGGUCUUGAUUUAGACUGUUUCUCGUCUUCGGUUUAUUGGGGGUUUCACCCUUCAAUUAGGCUGCUUAUAAGCCAGGGCAUUCAAGCAGUCCUCCAUUGACUUUCAACCUGAAAAAACCAGUCAAACCAAGAAAUUGGCAAAGACAUUACAAGUAUAUAUAUUUUAAUUAACUGUACAAAAUCCGAAUGAUUAUGAACAAUUCCCACAGCUCAUUUAUGACUUUUUAGAGAUAUUUGUCAAAUGGAUUGAGGUAAUAUAUGACCAAGAAUUUAAAUUCAAAUUCGUGGUAAUAGCACUGAUGGGUCAUGACCACAAACAAUAAAAUCAACCUCUAAUUUGCUUCUCCAAUAUUUCUGGGUUUCAAACCUGUAGCCAUGGACACCACCUUUUUUUUUUUUUUUUUUCUUUGUUUCCCCUCUUUUUUUUUUUUUUGUGACUAAAUUGUUGCAAAAUUUAAUGAGAAAUUUAAAUACUUUGCACUGAAACCUCUUGUGCCUUGCUUAUCACAAUGAUAACACUUAAAUUACCUAAUCUUUCCUAUUGCCUUUCUAUUUAGUUUUUCUUAAUCCAUAUUCUUUAGUUACUUUGUGACUAUCACCUAAAAUAGUAUUUUCCCAAUCAAAAUAAAAAAAUGAAUCCUCCACUAUUGAUUUCUAAUUUGUAUAAUUUGUAACCAUCAGUUUUAUAAUUAGCACAAUACUAAAAAUCCUUGAAUAACAAAAGCUAUAAUAAUACUUGUUGGGAAAAAAAUUAGGACAUUUCAAUAAUUCAGAUAUAAAAACUGAAAGUUUAAGAUCUUGUAUUGUGGAACUACCCAAAAAGAGGGAUAUGCAAUUUAUGUAGUUUUUAUUGAUUUAGCCCAAAGGUUACAAAUUUUUAGUUUUUAUAUGUUCUUUGAUUAGAAAAUAAUUGACCAAUACAAACAAAGAGUACUCAAUCAUAUACAUGGAUAUGCAAUAUAUAUAGAAAACCACUUAUAAAGUUUCUCAAAGACUUUAGGAAUUUAAAACCUUUAGGGUCAAAGAGCAUAAAACUAGAAUUCACUAAAUUUUAAAAAUUAGGUAUAUGGUUUUAUCUCAUAGUUGCUACUUCUUCAUAAUAUACAUAUAUUCUCACAUCUACAACGUAACACCUCUGAACACUUUAGUAAACUCUUCAAUACCUUAAUGUGAAAUGAUUCUAAUACCUCAAAUCCAACUAAUUUUGAUUUUGAUUUUGAUUUUUUUUUUGUGACAAUGUUAAGUGCAAAGAAUAAUGACAUAAAUUUUAGGCACAUUAAUUCAAAAUCAUACAAUAGCAUACAUAUGUAUAAGGGAUAAACCCUAGUAGACUUGGACUCAAAUUAAAAAUAACAUUUCGCCCAAAAAAAAAAAAAAACUUGAGAAAAUUAGGAACUUUGGAAAACUGUUGAAACCGGGUUGGUUAGUGUUAUGCGUGUCCCUUUCUUCUUUCUUUUUUCUCUCCCUCUUGUCUUAUUUUUAUGUUUGAGUGAGUGGGUAUCACAAGAUUCACAACCACCACAUGGAAAGGGUGACACCAACUUAUAUAUAUAAAUAUAUAAGAGAGAAAGAGAGUCCAAUGGUAAGAAAUUAAUAUACUGUGAAAUUGAAAAUAAUUAAAAAAUUUACUUAUUUCAAGUGCUCAAUUCUUACUUGAAUGCAUAAGGGCUUUUAGAUUUUCACCAAAAAAAUAUGAGAAAACUCAUAUACCUAGGAUUAUAACGUCAAGAGGUUUAUAAUUUAUCGAAAAAAAUAAAAAUUAUAAUAAACAAUUGAUCAAUCAUCAUGUAGACAGUCAAACUGUAAACAAAUUUUAACAACAUUUAUAUCGCUAUAUAUUGAAAUCGUGCAAUCAAUCCACAAAUUGACCAAAAAUACUUACUCUAAGUGGUCAACACUAUUUAGUCACCUUCGAAGAGCUGGUGAGGUCCCCACAAUACUCCAUCACAUCUAAUGGUUUGAUGAUAUUUAAUAUUUAAAUUUUGGGAACCAAAAAUAUUCUAAGAAAUGCCUUUUUUUUUUUUAACUAGAUCCAUCAUCCUCGGCUGUUGCCAAACAAUACUAAAAGCAGAUCUCCUUUUGGGCAUUUCAAUUAUAUAUUUGAAUAAUGCAAAGGGAUGAUAAUAUAAUUAUGUUACCAGUUUCACUUUUGAGUAAAUAAAUGGGAAUGGUGAGGACAAAGGGAUAAUGUCUGCACAUCGACAAGCCACCCCACAAUUUCUUCUUUUUUGGUCAUAUUCUUGAUUGCAUUUUCGCCAAAGUUCACAUCACAUAAAUUUAUCAUUAAUUAAAUGAAAGGUAAUCAUAGAAAAUGUAGCCAUAAUUACGACCUUAAUGCCUCUUGGAGUCUAUUCAAUGGAAUGACAACUAUCUACUGUAAAAAGAAUCAUUUGGUAGCAAACCUAUUCGUUGACUUUGGCUCCUAUGAUAAAAGUCAGUGUCUCCUCGACACACUGUCUUAUUUCAAUAGAGUUAAGGAAUGAUAAUUUUGAACUUUUCCAUGUGUGGAUCAUUAAUUACGUGGUUUGUCUUCUUCCAAUGACUUUUAUGCAUAUUAUGGAUUCUAAUAGCCAACCAACCCCAUAAGAAAAUGAAAUUUUCAACCUCAGGAGCCGCAUUUUCUUAGUUGUCAUUUGGAUUAUCAUGCUUUCUUGCACUAGAAAGAAAACCAAAGAAACUUAGAUGAUAAAGAAAAUCGAUAAAUUAUCACAGUGACCCAGAAAAUACAUCAGUUUUAGCUGAAUGCAUAUUUUCUCAAUUUUCAGUUUUGGGGGCGUUGUGUACAAAUUGCUGUAUAGAAAAUGGACUAAUUCAAUUUCCAUGGAAUAUUCAGACCCCCACUAGUCUGAUUUCAAUUGCAUGAAUGAAUAAAUGAAUUACUAGAUUGUACAGCUCUAUUGUGUUUAUAGACAAGGUUAGCUUACAAUGAUAUGCAAGAUUUAGUGUAUUAUCAACAAAACUGAGGAUGAACCUCUAGGAUACUAGAAGAGCUUGCUUGCGAACUCUUCAAUGGCCUCUCCCUUUUUAGAAGAAGAAUAAGAGGAUGCUGCCAGACCCUUGAGCCCGGACAAGCUUCUUCCUAGCUGUAGAGCCACCUUCGUUUCAAACAAUUCCCCGUUCUCUCUUCUCCCCACAUCUCUUUCAUUCAGAUUUGACUCUAUGCUCUCUUCCAUCAGCCGGAAGAAGCCUGCGUUGCUUCUAUACAUCUCAAACACCAUGCCCACUUGCCCGCCAUGCUCCAUUGUGUUCACCACGCUUGCCAUGGCUCCAGCUACGACUCCUAGUGUGGCGGCCCAGGGACCGUGAGAAGAUCCCACGAACGCAGUUCCACAAGCCGCUAAGCCUGUCAAUAAGGGACCAGAAAUGGCGAGCAUCCUGUUAACUUUCAAGGCUAUUUUGCCCAGCCUCAAAUAGUCUUCAGUGUCCUUUCUCUUCAAAACCCCGACAACUUCUCUCAUUUCUUCCUCCAACUCCACACGCCAACCAUUUCCAUCUGUUCUCCCACUCUGCCUUUCCUGCCUUUGCCUGUGCUCCGGCCACCAUACAGCAGGCUCCACAGUUUUGGGGAAUUUAUCGAGCAUCGCUCCUAGUAAAGGAAGCGGGAAGGCCUUGUCCAGUGACAAAACUUUCUCCAUAACUUCCUCAACAUCGGUACUAGUAGGAGUGCCACAAGAGAGUGUUCUUUGAAUCUGGCCAUGAAGCUGCUUAAACAACCUCGCGGCAUUGCGCUGUUCUUCGACGAGUUGAGAUGGCUGGAUCUUAUUCAUCACCACCAACAUCCCAGUGGCUGCCAAAUACAUCAGAGUGGAAGAGAGCUUGAGAGCUACAAGGGGUCCUCCUACACUUGUAGCAGCAAUUCCAGCCAUGGUUGCAGCAGUGAGUGUGAUUGCAUUAAUGGAUGUCAAAAGAAGAUGGUUCCAAUUAUCACGCUGCUCCCCGAUAUUCUUGUGCGUCUCCACUCUAUCUGCAACAGCCUCCAUGAUUGCAUGGAGUUUAGCAAUCACCAAAGGAUCAGAAACAUUGCUCACAGAAGGGAAAGUACCAUUAGUACUCAGCUCGUAUUUCUUCUCCAAAUUGCUGGUGGUUGCUGUUGAGAUAUUAAAAAUGCUUUCCGUAUAUCAUUCUUUCCUUAUAUUAUUUAGUGUUGAGAUAUUAGGAAUGUUUAAAUAUUAGGAAAGUUGAGAUAUUAAGAAUAUUGAGAUAUUAAGAAAGUUGAGAUAUUAGGAUAUUAGUUGUUAUUUCUUUAUAUCAUUCUUUCCUUGUAUCAUUCCUUCCCAUUCUUAGAAUGGUGAUUACCCUCUAUAUAUUCUCUAUACAUGAAUGAAUGAAAGUAUGAAUGAAAAAAACUAUCAUUUAUCAAUUUGAACAUACCAUGUUCAAAUUGAUGAAUGGUAGUUUUUCAUUCAUCAAUUUGAACAUGGUAUCAGAGCCAUGGAACUGAAAUCCUGGAUAUUUUGUCGCUAUAGUAGUCCGACAGCGAUCAUCCAUCCUAAGACAAGCCCUAAUAUUGAUAAGUCAACCUUCAAAUGCACUCACUAUAAUAAGAUUGAUCCCACCAAUCUGGAUAUCCCACAAUUUCAAAGCAACGACUCUUGGUAUGACUAGGAAAACAAUGAGGAACCGAGGAUUUGAACCAUGGACCUUUAGAUCAUGUUUAGGCUAUCAACAUUUUGUUAUUAAUGAUAAUAAUCGUGAUCAACGGAAGAAAGAUUCCAAGAAAACCUCGAUUGCAACUGUUGCCGAAAUAAAAAUAGAGGCUAAUGUUGUUGAGAAAGCCUCUGCAUUGGUAGCCGCUACAGAUCAUGAUGGUAAGUUUUUAAAUACUUUUACACCUGUUAUUAAUAGUGCAUGGAUAAUUGAUUCUGGUGCUACAGAUCAUAUGACUUUUGAUUCUAGACAGGUUUCACCACUUAGACCUUCCUCACAAAAAAUUAUUUCCACAGCCAAUGGUAACACAACCCCAGUCAUUGGGGAAGGAUCCUUAAAUCUUAAUGAUACUUUGAAUUUGGAUUCUGUUUUAGUUGUUCCAUCUUUAGAUUACAAUCUUUUGUAAGUUUAUGAAAUCACCGCAGUAUUAUCUUAUAGUUUCAUUUUUUGGCCUGAAUUUUGUGUGAUUCAGGACAUCCAAACAAGCUAAAAGAUUGGUUGUGGUAUUAUGAGGAAAGGACUCUAUUACUGGGACUUGCAGUAAAAGGAUUCAAAUANNNNNNNNNNNNNNNNNNNNNNNNNNNNNNNNNNNNNNNNNNNNNNNNNNNNNNNNNNNNNNNNNNNNNNNNNNNNNNNNNNNNNNNNNNNNNNNNNNNNAAGAGUGGCUCAUGUUGGUUUGUUACUUUUAUUGAUGAUUGUACUAGAAUGACAUGGUUAUGUUUGAUGAAGACCAAAGAUGAAGUGAACUUGUUGUUUCAAAAAUUUCAUAAAAUGAUUGAAACUCAGUACAAUGCAAAGGUUCGGGUUCUGCGUAGUGAUAAUGGUGGAGAAUAUCAAAGUUCUGAUCUUCAAAAGUAUUUGGAAGGACAUGGCAUCAUUCAUCAGACUACUUGUUCCAAUACACCCCAGUAAAAUGCAAUCGCUGAACGGAAAAAUCGACACUUGUUAGAGGUUGUUCGUGCUUCUUUGAUAGCAACAAAAACACCGAUAUCUUAUUGGGGAGAAGCAAUCACAUCUGCCGUAUACUUGAUCAAUCGGGUACCUUCCAGCUCAAUUAACUUCCAAACACCUCUCCAAGCUCUUACUAAUGUCGUAGUUGCCCCAACUGUCCCAAAUCUACCUCCUCGUGUUUUUGGUUGUGUGGCAUUUGUGCAUCUAUACAAACACCAAUGCACCAAGUUAACUUCUCAUGCAUUGCAAUGUGUGUUUGUUGGAUAUGCAUUGCACAAAAAGGGAUAUCGAUGUUACCAUCCUCCAACUCGACAAAUGUAUAUUACAAUAGAUGUGGUGUUUCAUGAAGAUUCGAUGUAUUUUUCAUCUGAGUCUGAACUUCAGGGGGAGUACCAUAAGGAAAUUCAGACUCUCGAUUAUGAUUAUCAUAUCUCUAAGGAGAAUGAAUUUGGACAAUCUGAACUAGUGAACCAAGAAGCGGGUGAGUUGGAUAUGAGUGGUCAAUAAUUUGGGUCCGAAGAUGUCUUCACUGAAAUACCAAACCAAUCGUCGUCUGUUGAAGGUGUUUUUAAUUUGGAACCUGAUCCAUUCAUGAAACGGUUACCACACCGUCAUAAUAGAGGUAUUCCUAAACCCACAUAUGAACCUGAAUUGUCUACCAAAGUCAAAUAUCCCAUGAGCAACUAUGUGUCUAACCAUCGUUUGUUUGAAUCAAAUAAGUCAUUUGUAAAUCAAUUAUCUACUGUAACUAUUCCUAACAGUGUGCAGGAAGCCUUAGCUGAUCCAAGAUGGAAAGCAGCCAUGAAUGAAGAGAUGAAAUCAUUGCAGAAGAAUGAAACAUGGGAACUCGUAGAAUGUCCACCAGGAAAGAAACCAGUUGGGUGUCGUUGGAUCUAUACUGUGAAAUACAAGGCAGAUGGUAGUAUUGAACGAUUUAAAGCAAGACUGGUAGCAAAAGGGUACACUCAAACUUAUGGAAUUGACUACACAAAGACAUUUGCACCUGUAGCUAAGAUCAACACAGUUCGAGUAUUACUAUCUUUAGCUGUAAACCUAGAUUGGCCAUUACAAAAGUUCGAUGUGAAAAAUGUUUUUCUGUAUGGCGAGUUAUCUGAAGAAGUAUAUGUGGAUCUUCCACCAGGAUGCAUGGUGUCAGAAAAGCAAUGUCACAAGGCGUGCAAAUUAAAGAAGUCAUUGUAUGGGUUGAAGUAAUCCCCGAGAGCAUGGUUUGGAAGGUUUACAAAGUCAAUGAGAGCUUUUGGCUAUCGUCAAAGUAAUUCAGAUCAUACUUUGUUCCUGAAAAAGCAACAUGGUAAGAUUACCGCACUCAUCGUAUAUGUGGAUGACAUGGUAGUUACAGGAAAUGAUCCUGAAGAAAGAAAAGCUCUGCAAAAUUAUCUAUCUAGAGAAUUCGAAAUGAAAUAUCUAGGUCCUCUGAAAUACUUUCUUGGGAUUGAAGUUUCUCGAUCAAGUGAAGGAAUUUUUCUGUCUCAAAGAAAGUAUGCCUUAGAUCUUUUACAGGAGACUAGAAUGUCGGGAUGUCAACCUAUUAAUACACCAAUAGAAGAAGGUUUGAAAUUGUGUGUUGAGCCUAAUCAAGUAUCAAUCGAUAAGGGAAGAUACCAGAGACUUGUGGGGAGAUUAAUGUACUUAGCUCUGAUACCAUCUUCAAAUUGAUAAAUAGUAGUUUUUUCCAUUCAUACUUUCAUUCGUUCAUGUAUAGAGAAUAUAUAGAGGGUAAUCACCAUUUUAAGAAUGGGAAGGAAUGAUACAAGGAAAGAAUGAUAUAAGGAAAUAACAACUAAUAUCUUAAUAUCUCAACUUUCAUAAUAUCUCAAUAUUCCUAAUAUCUCAAUAUUCUUAAUGUCUCAACUUUCCUAAUAUUUAAACAUUCCUAAUAUCUCACGUCGCUCGUUCAAGUGCAGAAGCAAAAUUUAGAGGUAUGACUCUAGGACUUUGUGAGGCAUUAUGGCUAAGACUUCUCUUAUAAGAUUUAGGUUACCUAUCUAAGCAACCAAUCCGAUUGUUUUGUGACAAUAAAGUCGCAUGUGACAUUGCUCAUAAUCCAGUACAACAUGAUAGUACAAAGCAUGUCGAGGUGGAUAGAUUCUUCAUUAAGGAAAAGUUGGAUGAUAAGAUUGUGGAAUUGCCUAAGAUUCGAUCAGAAGAUCAAUUGACCGAUAUUCUCACCAAAGCUGUCUCAAGUCAAGUGUUCUCAAAAUUUUUAGACAAGUUGGACAUGUGUGACAUCUAUGCACCAACUUGAGGGGGAGUGUUGAGAUAUUAGGAAUGUUUUCCGUAUAUCAUUCUUUCCUUAUAUUAUUUAGUGUUGAGAUAUUAGGAAUGUUUAAAUAUUAGGAAAGUUGAGAUAUUAAGAAUAUUGAGAUAUUAGGAAAGUUGAUAUAUUAGGAUAUUAGUUGUUAUUUCCUUAUAUCAUUCUUUCCUUAUAUUAUUCCUUCCCAUUCUUAGAAUGGUGAUUACCCUCUAUAUAUUCUCUGUACAUGAACGAAUGAAAGUAUGAAUGGAAAAAACUACUAUUUAUCAAUUUGAAGAGUUGCAGCUAUGAGACCAACUCCCAUAUCCAGUACUUCCUGUAGUACCAACUCUCUAGCGAGGAGGUUUAAAGAUAGGCGGAUGGGCUGGAGCUUAGGCAUAUUGAUAGUAGCUCUUAUCAUUCCUCUCCGGCAACGAGAUGAGGAAUAAGCCACUGACGUAAUAACAGCCGAUGAAAAUUGAAGACUCACCAUAUCCUCUCCUUGUACGAUCUGUAUGAGUUUCUUCUUGUUGCUA
RNAcentral lists this long non-coding RNA (36601 nucleotides) under Vitis vinifera (wine grape). RNAcentral describes it as "long non-coding RNA (VVIN_LNC003087)". Lineage: Eukaryota; Viridiplantae; Streptophyta; Magnoliopsida; Vitales; Vitaceae. The record is from RNAcentral.